AUUGAACGCUGGCGGCAGGCCUAACACAUGCAAGUCGAGCGGAUGAAGGGAGCUUGCUCCUGGAUUCAGCGGCGGACGGGUGAGUAAUGCCUAGGAAUCUGCCUGGUAGUGGGGGAUAACGUCCGGAAACGGGCGCUAAUACCGCAUACGUCCUGAGGGAGAAAGUGGGGGAUCUUCGGACCUCACGCUAUCAGAUGAGCCUAGGUCGGAUUAGCUAGUUGGUGGGGUAAAGGCCUACCAAGGCGACGAUCCGUAACUGGUCUGAGAGGAUGAUCAGUCACACUGGAACUGAGACACGGUCCAGACUCCUACGGGAGGCAGCAGUGGGGAAUAUUGGACAAUGGGCGAAAGCCUGAUCCAGCCAUGCCGCGUGUGUGAAGAAGGUCUUCGGAUUGUAAAGCACUUUAAGUUGGGAGGAAGGGCAGUAAGUUAAUACCUUGCUGUUUUGACGGUACCAACAGGAUAAGCACCGGCUAACUUCGUG
This 484-nucleotide ribosomal RNA is filed under the name uncultured bacterium. RNAcentral's name for it is "partial 16S ribosomal RNA". It matches the Rfam family "Bacterial small subunit ribosomal RNA", at positions 30 to 507 of the family's 1533-position model. The record is from RNAcentral.